GCGGUCGUGGUGGAAUUGGUAGACACGCCAGCUUGAGGUGCUGGUUCCUGCAAGGGAAUGAAGGUUCAAGUCCUUUCGACCGCA
RNAcentral lists this transfer RNA (84 nucleotides) under Fibrobacterales bacterium. Its description in RNAcentral is "tRNA-Leu". It matches the Rfam family "tRNA". From Rfam's summary of the family: Transfer RNA (tRNA) molecules are approximately 80 nucleotides in length. Their secondary structure includes four short double-helical elements and three loops (D, anti-codon, and T loops). Further hydrogen bonds mediate the characteristic L-shaped molecular structure. tRNAs have two regions of fundamental functional importance: the anti-codon, which is responsible for specific mRNA codon recognition, and the 3' end, to which the tRNAs corresponding amino acid is attached (by aminoacyl-tRNA synthetases). tRNAs cope with the degeneracy of the genetic code in two manners: having more than one tRNA (with a specific anti-codon) for a particular amino acid; and 'wobble' base-pairing, i.e. permitting non-standard base-pairing at the 3rd anti-codon position. The record is from RNAcentral. Lineage: Bacteria; Pseudomonadati; Fibrobacterota; Fibrobacteria; Fibrobacterales.